Molecule: long non-coding RNA, 521 nt
Filed under: Musa acuminata (dwarf banana)
Lineage: Eukaryota; Viridiplantae; Streptophyta; Magnoliopsida; Zingiberales; Musaceae
Description: long non-coding RNA (MACU_LNC007793)
Source: RNAcentral
AGUGCAAUUCUGUCCUAUCUGUGGAAUGACCUUUCUGAGUGUUCUAAUAUCCAAAUAGGGACCUGGUAUCCAGACUUCUGUGCUUAAUUAUGACCCAAUGGAUUAGUACCAGAAAAGAAACCAACCUCUUAGUUUCAUACCUGUCUGUUUCACUCUGAUAUCACUUAGUUCAAUACAAGCCCUUAGGAGGGAGUUCGGGAAGAGAAGGAUUUCGAAUCCAAAGGUCUAGUGCUAAGCCUUAUAUAGAAGGAGGAGUCUCAGAGCCCAAGCCUGGAUUGGAAGUUUCUGUCUUUAUUGGUGUUAGGGGGUGAGUUCCAUUCGGAUGCUGACUACGAUUAGUCUACUAUACUAGAUCAUAUCACUGCAACUAUUAGUCUGAUGGUUAGUACUGUAAGACUUAGGUAGGAGGGGCUAGUGUCAGGAAUUCCAGUAAGUAGUAACAGAGCUAAAGGGGCAAGUUCUAAUUCAAAACAGGAGCGCCGGAGACAAAUACAACAGAUAUGAGAUCGGGAGCGGAAGAG